Molecule: ribosomal RNA, 778 nt
Filed under: uncultured bacterium
Lineage: Bacteria
Description: bacterial SSU rRNA
Rfam family: Bacterial small subunit ribosomal RNA
Source: RNAcentral
GAUGAACGCUAGCGGCAGGCUUAACACAUGCAAGUCGAGGGACCGGCGGAAGGGUGCGUAACGCGUGAGCGACAUGCCCGUUGCCCGGGGACAACCGGUGGAAACGCCGACUAAUCCCCGAUGGCGACGGAUUGGCUCGCGUCCGAUUAGCUGGUUGGCGGGGUAACGGCCCACCAAGGCUACGAUCGGUAGGGGUUCUGAAGGAAGGCCCCCCACAAUGGGACUGAGACACGGCCCAUACUCCUACGGGAGGCAGCAGUGAGGAAUAUUGGUCAAUGGGCGGAAGCCUGAACCAGCCAUGCCGCGUGCGGGAAGGAGGCCUAUGGGCUGUGAACCGCUUUUGCCUGGGGGCGAGUACCAGGCGAAUAAGCAUCGGCUAACUCCGUGCCAGCAGCCGCGGUAAUACGGGGGAUGCGAGCGUUAUCCGGAUUCAUUGGGUUUAAAGGGUGCGUAGGCUGUGCGUCAAGUCGGGGGUGAAAUUCCGGUGCUCAACACCGGGGCUGCCCUUGAUACUGUCGCGCUGGAGUGCGGAUGCCGCCGGAGGAAUGAGUGGUGUAGCGGUGAAAUGCUUAGAUAUCACUCAGAACACCGAUUGCGAAGGCAUCUGGCGAAUCCGUAACUGACGCUGAGGCACGAAAGCGUGGGGAUAGAACAGGAUUAGAUACCCUGGUAUUCCACGCCGUAAACAUGAUGGCUAACCGCCGGCCGGUGGCCAAGCGAAAGCGAUAAGCCAUCCACCUGGGGAGUACGUCGGCAACGAUGCAACUCAAAGGAAUUG